GACGCCCUCCCGUCUCCCGCCGGGGUCGCCCCCUGCCGGCGCGCGCGCCUCGUCAGCCGUUAACCGCCUCCCCCCUCGGCGCCUCCCCUCCGCGCCCGCGCUGCAGCGCCGCGGUGCCGCGCCCAGAGCUCGGCGGAGGCGGCGCCCCGUCUGAGGGCUGGGACUCAGAUGGGUGCCGUCCUCGGCUCUCUGGGAAAACGGCCCUGUAGAUCCCCCGGCUGGGCACCAGCGCGGAGGAUGAGGACUCGAUGAUUUUUUUUCUUCCCAAAUGGGAAGAAGUGACCGGGGAUUUGGUGCUCUGACAACUCGUGAAUUUUCCAUCCUAAGGAGAAGAGCUCACCUGUGCCAUGGGAUGGCCUGGAGGCUGUAACACCGCAUCAGAGGGUUACACUGAGGAGAAUCCAGCAUCCUGAUUUUAAUUACCUGCAUUGGAUGAAACAGGCAAGAAGAACAGGGAAUUGUUGCUGUCUGCAGAUAUUUAAGCAGAUCGACGAUCCCUAGCCCAGAGGACUGGGUACACAGAGCUUCUGCAGUGGAGUGGGGAACACAGAUUUUAAGUGCAAUCACACUGAUGUAUGAUUCAUUGAGAAAUAAAGACCUCCUGCAUCUAUUGCUCCCA
Numida meleagris (helmeted guineafowl) is the source of this 619-nucleotide long non-coding RNA. RefSeq lists it as uncharacterized. The transcript has 2 exons. NCBI's taxonomy places the organism in Eukaryota, Metazoa, Chordata, Aves, Galliformes, Numididae. The record is from RefSeq and is a predicted model, not a curated record.